This 458-nucleotide ribosomal RNA is filed under the name uncultured bacterium. RNAcentral's name for it is "partial 16S ribosomal RNA". It matches the Rfam family "Bacterial small subunit ribosomal RNA", at positions 338 to 795 of the family's 1533-position model. The record is from RNAcentral.
CCUACGGGGGGCAGCAGUGAGGAAUAUUGGUCAAUGGCCGGAAGGCUGAACCAGCCAUGCCGCGUGAAGGUCAGUGCCCUAUGGGCGUUAAACUUCUUUUGUGCGGGAGCAAUAAUGGUCACGUGUGGCCAGACGCGAGUACCGUACGAAUAAGCAUCGGCUAAGUCCGUGCCAGCAGCCGCGGUAUUACGGGGGAUGCAAGCGUUAUCGGGAUUUAUGGGGGUAAAGGGGGCCGUGGGGGGUUGUUUAUGCUGGUGGUAAAACGUCGGGGCUUCACCUUGAUUUGCCAUUGAUACUGUAAGGCUGGAGUGCAGACGAGGUAGGCGGAAUAAGUUAAGUAGCGGUGAAAUGCUUAGAUAUUACGAAGAACUCCAGUAGCGAAGGCAGCUUACCAGACUGUGACUGACGCUGAGGCACGAGAGCGUGGGUAGCGAACAGGAUUAGAUACCCGGGUAGUC